UUUAAAUGAGGUGUGUCCAGGUGCAUUGUCGGCGCGUUGCUAUUUUAAGGCAACAAAAUGACGUUGUGCUUUUGAGUUGACCAAACAAAACCACGUCUAAAGUCAGCGACGCAUUGUUAAACAGUAUUGAAGCGACGCGUUUUAGAUUAGCUACCACACAACGUAUGGCCAGCCCAGCCCGAUCUGUUUCCGAGCUCGCAAGAUCUGCCCGAAGCUCAUUCAGCUUAUCCCUGGAUCGGGCUACCAAGAGAAACACGUGACGACCCGAUGUUUCAUUUUCGGAUUUCCAAGGAAAUUAUUCCGGACAACAGUUGGCAGACUAAGAUUACACACCGUUUUACUCAUUCGUUUGCAGAAUGUGAUAUUUUUUACUUUUGUAAACGUCUAUUAAAACAUGCAUUUUAUUGUUAA
Long non-coding RNA from Paramormyrops kingsleyae, 411 nucleotides. RefSeq lists it as uncharacterized. NCBI's taxonomy places the organism in Eukaryota, Metazoa, Chordata, Actinopteri, Osteoglossiformes, Mormyridae. The record is from RefSeq and is a predicted model, not a curated record.